GCGCUGCGGCUGGGCGAGCUGCCGUUCUCGGCGGCGCGGGUCCGGCACGAGGUGACGGAGGUGUCGUGCGAGGGGACGGCGGUGUC
This 86-nucleotide transfer RNA is filed under the name Sphaerisporangium krabiense. RNAcentral's name for it is "tRNA-Glu". Lineage: Bacteria; Bacillati; Actinomycetota; Actinomycetes; Streptosporangiales; Streptosporangiaceae. The record is from RNAcentral.